RNAcentral lists this ribosomal RNA (692 nucleotides) under uncultured bacterium. RNAcentral describes it as "bacterial SSU rRNA". It matches the Rfam family "Bacterial small subunit ribosomal RNA", at positions 32 to 715 of the family's 1533-position model. The record is from RNAcentral.
AACGCUAGCUACAGGCUUAACACAUGCAAGUCGAGGGGCAGCAUAAAAGUAGCAAUACUUUGGUGGCGACCGGCGCACGGGUGAGUAACGCGUAUGCAACCUACCUAUCAGAGGGGGAUAACCCGGCGAAAGUCGGACUAAUACCGCAUAAAACAGGGGCACCGCAUGGUGAUAUUUGUUAAAAAUUUAUUGCUGAUAGAUGGGCAUGCGUUCCAUUAGGUAGUUGGAGAGGUAACGGCUCACCAAGCCUACGAUGGAUAGGGGAACUGAGAGGUUGGUCCCCCACACUGGUACUGAGACACGGACCAGACUCCUACGGGAGGCAGCAGUGAGGAAUAUUGGUCAAUGGGCGAGAGCCUGAACCAGCCAAGUAGCGUGUAGGAUGACGGCCCUAUGGGUUGUAAACUGCUUUUAUAAGGGAAUAAAGUGAGUCUCGUGAGACUUUUUGCAUGUACCUUAUGAAUAAGGACCGGCUAAUUCCGUGCCAGCAGCCGCGGUAAUACGGAAGGUCCGGGCGUUAUCCGGAUUUAUUGGGUUUAAAGGGAGCGUAGGCCGGAGAUUAAGCGUGUUGUGAAAUGUAGACGCUCAACGUCUGCACUGCAGCGCGAACUGGUUUCCUUGAGUACGCACAAAGUGGGCGGAAUUCGUGGUGUAGCGGUGAAAUGCUUAGAUAUCACGAAGAACUCCGAUUG